UCAGAUGUCUCCGAAAACAAUUCGUGGAAUUUAAAUUUUUAUUAGUUCGAACUCCCAAAAUUGCUCCUGAAGUUUAAAGUUUAAACUGGAGAAAAUGAAAGGAGGGAGUACAUGUGAAAACACUCAAAAGAGUUGCACUGAAUUUGAAUAAGAAACCAUAACUAUCAUCAUCUCUGACCUCUGUACUCGUGACACAAGUCCAACCAUACCAAUUAAUUUUCACAAUUUUGAAUGCAGAAGCAUUGAAGUUAGGGUUCCGUCGAUCCAUCGGGAAAGUUCUUUCCAGAGAUUGUUGAGCGCUACAGGAGUUUGCCGUCACGUCGCAACUUUCGCUUCCGUCGCCGGCGAGAGAAAGAAAACAGCUAAAGUUUUAAGCAGGGACGGCUCAAUGCAAUUGAUGAUCUAGAGCCACUUGGUGUUGUUUUGGGACUAUCCUGAUUCGCAUUGGAAAGUUUCACUGUUGGAGUUUAAACAUUCCUUACCAAAGGCGAUUUCAUUUCACGGGCUUGAACUUAAGACUUAUGGCUAAGGAUAGAGGAGUACUUGUCAUCCCACCACAACCUUUGGUCGUAUAUAUUUAUAUCAUUAUGUGACGUGAUCUAAUAGAAAAAAGUGAGAAGGAAUAAAAAGAAUGUGUACUUUAAAUUAUUAAUAGUCGUUUGGAUGAUAUUUGGUUGAA
Non-coding RNA from Nicotiana tabacum (common tobacco), 679 nucleotides. NCBI's taxonomy places the organism in Eukaryota, Viridiplantae, Streptophyta, Magnoliopsida, Solanales, Solanaceae. The record is from RefSeq and is a predicted model, not a curated record.